GACAGAGGGUGCAAACGUUGCUCGGAAUUACUGGGCGUAAAGCGCGUGUAGGUGGUCACGCAAGUCAGAUGUGAAAGCCCCGGGCUUAACCUGGGAAUGGCAUUUGAGACUGCAUAGCUAGGGUGCGGAAGAGGGAAGCGGAAUUUCCGGUGUAGCGGUGAAAUGCGUAGAUAUCGGAAGGAACACCAGUGGCGAAAGCGGCUUCCUGGUCCAGCACCGACGUUCAGGCACGAAAGCGUGGGGAGCAAACAGG
Molecule: ribosomal RNA, 253 nt
Filed under: uncultured bacterium
Lineage: Bacteria
Description: partial 16S ribosomal RNA
Rfam family: Bacterial small subunit ribosomal RNA
Source: RNAcentral